This 294-nucleotide unclassified non-coding RNA is filed under the name plant metagenome. Its description in RNAcentral is "partial contains small subunit ribosomal RNA, internal transcribed spacer 1, and 5.8S ribosomal RNA". The stretch from base 1 to 54 matches the Rfam family "Eukaryotic small subunit ribosomal RNA", at positions 1778 to 1831 of the family's 1831-position model. The record is from RNAcentral.
GGAAGUAAAAGUCGUAACAAGAUUUCCGUAGGUGAACCCGCGGAAGGAUCAUUAAUGAGUUGUCAUGGGGUUCGAUGCUGGCAGCCAGUUUUUGGAUGCAUGUGCUUGCCCUAACAAUCAUCUUCUUCCAAACACCUGUGCACAUUUUUGAGGGAGUCUUGAGUUGGUUGCCGCUCUUGGGUGAUUUUCUCACAUUCCCUUAAAUCAUUAUACGCUAUUAACAAUGUUGAACGUGCUCUGUGCCGCAAGGCCAUUAAUAUAAUACAACUUUUAACAACGGAUCUCUUGGCUCUC